This 440-nucleotide ribosomal RNA is filed under the name uncultured bacterium. RNAcentral describes it as "partial 16S ribosomal RNA". It matches the Rfam family "Bacterial small subunit ribosomal RNA", at positions 338 to 795 of the family's 1533-position model. The record is from RNAcentral.
CCUACGGGGGGCAGCAGUGGGGGAUAUUGCACAAUGGGGGAAACCCUGAUGCAGCGACGCCGCGUGAGUGAAGAAGUAUUUCGGUAUGUAAAGCUCUAUCAGUAGGGAAGAAAAUGACAGUACCUGACCAAGAAGCCCCGGCUAAAGACGUGCCAGCAGCCGCGGUAAUACGUCGGGGGCAAGCGGUAUCCGGAUUUACUGGGUGGAAAGGGAGCGUAGACGGUUAUGUAAGUAUGGAGUGAAAGCCCGGGGCCCAACCCCGGGACUGCUUUGGAAACUGGGUAACUGGAGUACAGGAGGGGCAGGCGGAAUUCCUGGUGUAGCGGUGAAAUGCUUAGAUAUCAGGAGGAACACCGGCGGCGAAGGCGGCUCUCUGGUCUGUAACUGACGCUGAGGUUCGAAAGCGUGGGUAGCAAACAGGAUUAGAUACCCGAGUAGUC